CUGCGGAGGGAUCAUUACCGAGUUUUCAACUCCCUAACCCUUCUGUGAACCUACCUAUCGUUGCUUCGGCGGACUCGCCCCAGCCCGGACGCGGACUGGACCAGCGGCCCGCCGGGGACCUCAAACUCUUGUAUUCCAGCAUCUUCUGAAUACGCCGCAAGGCAAAACAAAUGAAUCAAAACUUUCAACAACGGAUCUCUUGGCUCUGGCAUCGAUGAAGAACGCAGCGAAACGCGAUAAGUAAUGUGAAUUGCAGAAUCCAGUGAAUCAUCGAAUCUUUGAACGCACAUUGCGCCCGCCAGCAUUCUGGCGGGCAUGCCUGUUCGAGCGUCAUUUCAACCCUCGACCUCCCCUUGGGGGGGUCGGCGUUGGGGACCGGCAGCACACCGCCGGCCCUGAAAUGGAGUGGCGGCCCGUCCGCGGCGACCUCUGCGCAGUAAUACAGCUCGCACCGGAACCCCGACGCGGCCACGCCGUAAAACACCCAACUUCUGAACGUUGACCUCGAAUCAGGUAGGACUACCCGCUGAACUUAAGCAUA
RNAcentral lists this ribosomal RNA (541 nucleotides) under Beauveria bassiana. RNAcentral's name for it is "eukaryotic LSU rRNA". The stretch from base 180 to 333 matches the Rfam family "5.8S ribosomal RNA". Lineage: Eukaryota; Fungi; Ascomycota; Sordariomycetes; Hypocreales; Cordycipitaceae. The record is from RNAcentral.